Molecule: non-coding RNA, 540 nt
Organism: Zonotrichia albicollis (white-throated sparrow)
Lineage: Eukaryota; Metazoa; Chordata; Aves; Passeriformes; Passerellidae
Source: RefSeq, a predicted model, not a curated record
AGCUGUAGACUAGCAUCAAGAAGCUCUGCAGCCAGGUCUGGACAGGUCUCUCACACACAGAUUAAACCUGUCAUUGUAAUGGCAUUGUGCACUGGGAUGUUCUGGAAGAUAAGAAACCCUCCAACUGUGGUACUGACCACAGGCAGCAUAAAAGCUCCCCAUUUAGAGGAGCAUCCCAUGCAGGACACUCCUCGUUCCAAUUAAUUUGAAGCACAGGCAUAACCUCACAGACCUGCAGGUGGAGAAGGAGCAGACUGUUCCUUUUGUUGAAAGGCUGAGAGAACCACAUCCCCAGCCCAGGCUGGCUGCAGGAACUCCUUGCAUCUUUCUUCUCAUGGAAAAUGAAGUCACCCUGAAUCACACAGGUCACCCAACAUUCCUGCUUGGUACCUCCUUAAUCCUUUGGAUGCAGAUCAUUGGAAAUCUAACUGUAAACUCUGCAUUGAAGGGCUGCAAGAUUCAACCCUGUGUCAAGAAGGAAAAAGAUGAAGAAGAAAGGUUACACUUGGAGGACCUUGGCCAGGAACAUCUCUUGAACCU